UGAGGAAUAUUGGUCAAUGGACGCAAGUCUGAACCAGCCAAGUAGCGUGCAGGAUGACGGCCCUAUGGGUUGUAAACUGCUUUUAUAUGGGGAUAAAGUGGGGAACGUGUUCCCUUUUGCAGGUACCAUAUGAAUAAGGACCGGCUAAUUCCGUUCCAGCAGCCGCGGUAAUACGGAAGGUUCGGGCGUUAUCCGGAUUUACUGGGCGUAAAGGGCGUGUAGGCGGCUAGAUAAGUGUGAUGUUUAAAUCCAAGGCUUAACCUUGGGGUUCAUUACAAACUGUUUAGCUUGAGUGCUGGAGAGGAUAGUGGAAUUCCUAGUGUAGCGGUAAAAUGCGUAGAUAUUAGGAGGAACACCGGUGGCGAAGGCGGCUAUCUGGACAGUAGCUGACGCUGAGGCGCGAAAGCGUGGGGAGCAAACAGG
RNAcentral lists this ribosomal RNA (423 nucleotides) under Verrucomicrobiota bacterium. Its description in RNAcentral is "Verrucomicrobia bacterium partial 16S ribosomal RNA". It matches the Rfam family "Bacterial small subunit ribosomal RNA", at positions 355 to 776 of the family's 1533-position model. Lineage: Bacteria; Pseudomonadati; Verrucomicrobiota. The record is from RNAcentral.